CCUUCUUCUUCAUUUACUAUAAUCACAGAUCAAACAGGAAUGGGAUUUAGGGCUUUUUCUGAGUGAUUAAGAUAGAAAUAUAUUCUGGGUUGAAGAUCAAGCUUCAACGUUUUGAGGAGAAACGUCGAUCACACGCAUAGCAGAUCAAACAGGAAUGGGAUUUAGGGCUUUUUCUGAGUGAUUAAGAUAGAAAUAUAUUCUAGGCAACGUUUUGAGGAGAAAUUUCGAUCACACGCAUAGCAGGUAACAUCAUAUUCUCUUCUAUUUCUUCUUAAGAAUUCAUAUUUCAAUUAAAACAUCAGGAAGAGGAGAAAAUGUUAGCUAACAUGGCCUAAAUAGCCAUAUCAGCAUGUAAUUUGAAUUUUUAAUAUUAUUGUAAGUGGUUAAUAUUAUAGCAGCCAUUAUAACAUUUUCUCUGUCUUGGUUUGAAAGAGCAAGUUAUACUCUUCCAGUUAGUGAAGGAUCAUGUGAUGUCUUAUUAUUGAAUAACAUAACACAAUUUGUGGGUUA
Molecule: long non-coding RNA, 510 nt
Organism: Macadamia integrifolia
Lineage: Eukaryota; Viridiplantae; Streptophyta; Magnoliopsida; Proteales; Proteaceae
Exons: 2
Source: RefSeq, a predicted model, not a curated record